Mustela lutreola (European mink) is the source of this 4528-nucleotide long non-coding RNA. RefSeq lists it as uncharacterized. Lineage: Eukaryota; Metazoa; Chordata; Mammalia; Carnivora; Mustelidae. The transcript is spliced from 4 exons. The record is from RefSeq and is a predicted model, not a curated record.
CCCAUCAAGUACUAAAAUACAGUGGGAGGCUGCAUCCUUAUGUAAAUAUUUGACUUAUAGACAUUUCACUGUUAGUUGACAAAUACGAUGUGCAAACCAGAAGUUCUAAAUAAUUAGUAUUGAGUAGCAUUUGUGGUGACGAUUUUUUAUAUAAAAGCUGAGACCUCUGGCCUAUGAAGUAUCUAGGAGAAAACUAAUUUUUGAUAACCCUUCCUAAUUUGAUUUGUGGAAUCCUGAAGACAAAGAGAUCCUCUUGGUUUACUUUCCUGUUGCUCAGUGACCAAAAGUCCUGGAUUCGAGAUUUACUCAACACAUUAAGGGACCUACUGUGUGUUGAGCAUUGUUCUAGGUAUUAGAGAUACACAGUAGUGAACAGAACUGUGGAUUGUGUAAUAUUUAAAUAAUUUUGGUCUCUCUAACUACAAAUAACCUUAGAUAUGGUAAUACGUGACAUAUAUUUUUGUGUAAAUGUAAAACUUGUUCCUUGUCUCAUCUUUUAGAAGCAAUCUCUAAGAAAGGGAAAGGAAAAGCCAAAACCAAACAAUACUGCUAUUUUCCAUCAUUCUCCGUAUCGAGGUUGCCCUCCUCUUUCUUAAUGCCCUCUACCAUCAUUUUAAGGCAACACAUGCCCUUUUUGCCAGGACACCCUACAUUGUACAGUCUAUUGACUGUAUCAUGCAGAGGAGGUGGGUAGGCACUGAAUUCCAGCAUCUACCUUCACCUGCUAAGACAUGUGUUUUGCAUCUACCUGAGGAAGGGGUAUCUUUUUCUAAUUUGAACACAGCACUGUAGCACCACCAUGGCUCUCUUUGUUCUUCAGAGUUCUCUGGCAACUGACUGCCAUCUGCCCUUGACAUGUAUUUUCAUGUUAUAUUGAAUAGCACUGCUCUGAGUAGCAAGACAGGGAACACUGGGGGAUGGGGUGAAGUCAAGGCUGUAGAAGUGAACCAGCAACCCCGAUCACCUUCCAGGAUUUCAAAUAAUAUCUAGAUAAAUGAAAACUAGCUGAGGCGUGAUGCUGUGUAAAAUGUUCUGCAGCAAAAAGGAAGCAGUGACAGAGCAACAAAACUGCCUUUUCGGUUUUAGCAAACUGGAAGAACUGUCAACUCACAACAGGUUGCCUUAGUAUUGCAUUGCAACUGCAGAACAUGAUAUAGUCAGACCACAUGGCUCAACCUUUUGGCCGAGCUCAUUUGUAGGAUUUGAUAUCAGGUGAUUUGAUAUAGGAUAUAUGUCCUGCUGAACCCCAGGGAUGGCCUUGGGUAUUAAAGUGUUUUCCUUUUCCCGUUGCUAACUUCGCUGUGGUCUGUUGACAUUACAUCAUGUUGCAAACAAUGAGUGGUAGAGUCUGCAGUGUCAGGAUGUAGUGACCUGAUUAGUCCAAACUCCUGCAGGGGAGCCGUGCGGAUAGAUGAGCCCCAACAAGACCUGAAGAACCAUGUCGUUUUGAAAUCCCAGGUGGAUGGGCCACACCCUGAAUACACCUUAAAUCUCUUGUUGCUUUGAAGCCUCUACCAUUUGCCUAAAGAAAAUACGUUUAACUGAAGACCCAGGGAUAGAAGGAAACCAUGCUAUACAGAUUCAGGCGACCUGCAGACAACCUCCAGCAGGCACCAGCAAACUUUGGGAUGCAAGUAACCCUGAAUGAGUAAGAACUUGAGCUAAGAAGCAGAGCGCCAUGCCAUUUCUACACAACUUCUCCUUCCAGUGUCACACUCUGGAACAAUCCAUUCUCCAAAUCACCAAGUUAAAGGUAGAGCGAUUCACCAACUGCCAGCAGUGAACUCAAAAUGGAAGAGACAUGACAAGUAUCCAGGACACUGACUGGCAUUUUAAUACAUUCUCUUAACAAUAAAUUUUGAUGGAUGAAAACUAAAAAUGGGCAAUGUAGAGAGAAGGAUCUCCCAGUUGGAAGUCUUUCUCUGAGAAAGCUAUUAAGUCUGUAGGCCACUCACAAGGUCACUGCAGAUAGUUAAACCCAAGCAACUCUAAGAUGUGCCGAUCAUAUCCAGUCUCAACGGGUCAUGGCCUGGGAAUGGUCUUCUGCACAGGCUACAAUAUGGUCAACGGUGGCUCUGACCAUGGGAGUAUUAAUGAUAUCCUUCAGAACCCAUGGUGUUAAAUGAUACUUCACUAGCUAUCCCUGGCACUGGCUCCUCUCAUGAUGUUUCAGAACAAGCAACUAUUCAAAAGGACAGGCAUGUGGCAAGCAUGUGGAAAUUAUUGCAAUUGGAUGAAGAAAACAUUUUCAUUUCCAUAACCAAGUUUCAAUCACGGGAACAUCCAGUAGCAAGAAACUGCCUGGAUUUUAAUCUAAGCUUUGGCAUUGACUACGAGCUCUAUAAGCCUUAGGAAUGCUAUUUAAUCUCUCUGUGUAUCAUCUUCCUUCUAUAUAAAAUGGGGAUAAUAAUAGUACAUAUGUCAUAAAGUUUUUAUAAGAAUGGGAUCAAAUGGUUUCCUAUUAAAAGACCUUAGAAAAGUGCCUGGCACACAGAAAGCACUAUGUAUGGAUUUGUUAAAUAAGUAAGUAAUAUAUACAAGUAUGUAUUUAUCAUCAUUUAUGACUGUUCCAGUAUAUUCUAAUUUUUGGACAGAAUGUUAUGUUAACCAUGGUACAUUUUCAGUUAUAUAUCCAACUAAAACUUAAGAUAAUAGUUAAAACUGAGAUAAAAGACAGUCGUUUAAACCUGUCCUUCUCCAAAAUAGAUUAGACAUGAAACAUAUGAGUUAAAGAACUGUGUUCUUAAUUUAGGUAGUAUUUUGGAUUUUAAAACAAGUGUGUGAGUUCAGUAUGGGGGGCAGAAAUUAGAUCAUCAGACAAGGUGAAAGAGCAUAUCCAGAUGAACACCUUCCUAUAGGUUUCAUUUCUUCUUCCAAAAAUCAUAGUUAUAUACUGGUUUCAGAAGCUGACUGCAGCCCAUUUCAUUAUAAGACCGUAUGAACCCAAAGAAGUUAAUUUUCUCUUCAAAUCUGGAUUUAUUACACAAAUAGCAUAGCAACCAUAAUAGAAGGAAGGAAAUACCAUUAACACGUACACCCCGAUAAAUCAGUUGUUUACAUUUUUCUCUGUUCCUUUCUAUACCAAGUCCAUUUGCCUACCUUUUUUUUUUUUUUUCAACCUAGUGGUUGAAAGAAGAAAAAAAAAGUUAAGUGCUCUAUAAGCCCCAGUCGUCUGUCCUGUUCCCUAUCAUACCACACACUCCCUCUGGGAGAAGGUUUUCUCCAUUCAGUAAAUAUUUAUUGAAUAUCUCCCACAUGCCAAGGAUUGUCCCAAGUACUACAGAUGUAAGGAUGAACAAGACAGACAAGGCCUCAGGCCUCAAAGAACUUAAUUCUAGUCAGGAAUAAACAUGUAAACCAAUAUAUAAAUAAGAUGAUUCCUGAUUUUUUAGGGUCGGAGAAGGCUCCUAUGAGGAUAUGUAGGCAGAUAGAAGAAAGAUGAGGUGGUAAGAGCCGUGCACUGAGCUGAAGGCCUCAGUGACAUGGGAAAGAGCUUUGUGUAUUUGAGGAAGCUAAAGGAGGCCAAUGGGAAUGAAAUCAGCCAGCAGGGACCUAAGGGAAAGGCAGGAGUCAGCUUUGUAGUGCUUUGUAGGCCACGGUGAGGAGUUUGGAUUUUAUUUUAGUGCAACAGGAAGACUUUGGAAGACUUUCACCAAAGGCAGCACGUGUUUUGCCCUAUUAGGUUACUCUCAUUGCUAGGCGAAGAGUGAAUUAUGGGGAGACAAGAAGAGAAAGAAAGAGACCCAUUAGUGGGCUCUUGUAGUAGUGAAAACAAAAGAGGAUGGUGACUUAGACUGGGAUGAUAAAGUAGAUGGUUUCAAAAUGUAUUCCGGAAGUAGCACUUACACAUUUGCUGAUGGAUUAGAUACAGAGGAUGAGGGCAAGAGGAACCUAGAAUGAUUGGGAUCCUUGUUUUUUGGGGUGAAGCAACUGGGUAGAUGAUGGAGGUAUUGACUUUGACUGGAAUAGGAUCAGAUUUAGGAGUCCUUUUUCAUGUGCAUUUAGUUUACAAUAUCUAUUUGGAGUUUAAUUGGAAAUGUCAGUUAUGCAAUUGCAUCCGUGAGUCUGAAGCUCAGGUCAGUUCUAUAUCAGCACAUAGUAAAAUUUAAAGCCAUCAGACUGGAAGACAAGUAAGAAGGGAGAAUUGACUACCAGGCCCCAUGACACUCCAGCUUUCAGAUGUUGGUCAAUGCAAAAAGCCAGCCAUAAUAAUUGAGAAGAGUUCAUUAAUUUGGGAAGGAAAUCAGGACAGUGUAAUGUUUCCGAAGCCCAGAGCAUAAGUUGAUUCAAAAAAAGGAGAGAGUUCUUAUUUGUGUUAAAUACUGUUACCGGGUCAAGUAAAGUGAGGAUGAAGACAAAUCCACUCCAUGUGGUAAUAUGACGAGUUUCUGUGAUUUUGGCAAAUCACUGCAGCGGAGUCCUCGAGACUUGAAGUCAGAAUGGACAUUGACAUUGAAGUCAGAAUGGAGUGGGUUGAGACUGAAUGGAUUUAACACAAUUCAGUAAAAAUCCUAAUAGGCUAUUUCUU